Molecule: long non-coding RNA, 366 nt
Filed under: Bos indicus x Bos taurus (hybrid cattle)
Lineage: Eukaryota; Metazoa; Chordata; Mammalia; Artiodactyla; Bovidae
Description: lncRNA (ENSBIXG00005025467.1)
Source: RNAcentral
CCAGAGACAACUGGACAAGUGGGCCUUGCGUGUACAGAUGGAACAACCAUGGCGGCCAGGUUGAGUGGCCCAAAAUGGAAGACUGUUGGCAACAGGUUACCCAUCGCAUAUUCCAUGAUAGCCAGCCUCUCGAGAUGAAUAUCAUGAAUCCCCAGAGACAACUGGACAAGUGGGCCUUGCGUGUACAGAUGGAACAACCAUGGCGGCCAGGUUGAGUGGCCCAAAAUGGAAGACUGUUGGCAACAGGUUACCCAUCGCAUAUUCCAUGAUAGCCAGCCUCUCGAGAUGAAUAUCAUGAAUCCCCAGAGACAACUGGACAAGUGGGCCUUGCGUGUACAGAUGGAACAACCAUGGCGGCCAGGUUGA